AGCGCGGCGCCGGGCCCGCCGCCGGGAGGAAACGCAGAUGAGCCCACGCGGGGGGCGGCUUCGGUGAGCCUGCCUGUGCCCGGAAAGCAGCAAGGUCACCAAGUCCAGACAAGACGGAGAAGCUCGGGUGGAAGGAGACUCGAGACAUGACAGCUGGACGCAGCCCAUGACGUGACGGGGUCCUUGGGCUGUGGGGACAUCUGGGGACAGCAGCAAACUGAAUAGUGGGAGUUUGGGUGGCAGCAACGUGCCAAUGUAAUAGCCCUGGCCAGGUGGCUCCCAUGGUGAUGUCCUCUGGCUGUACCGUUGUCCUGAGGGGACUGCCAGUGCCCGUCUGCCGUGGGAUGGUGGCCAGCAAACCCGCAGAGACACAAAGUGAACAGAGGAGCCUGGACCGCGAGGCAGGAGGCGGGCUUCCAGGAUGGCUGUGUCCCCACUGGCUGGCCUUCCGGGGCCCCUUUCAAAAGUGUGCUGGUUGGGGGGUUAACUGUGUGCUGUCCCGAGACCCUGGGCACUUGGGACAUGGAAUUUAACCUUGACGGACUGGUGAGGACCUGCUGUGGGGAGCGAGGAGUGAAGCCAGCUGCCUCCCCCGUUCCUGCCCUCCUCGCCCUCCCCUCGUGCCCGGGGUUGGAAAUUCCACCUCCUCCCAGGCGAGCUCUGCCCUCUCAGAGGGGCGGUGGGCUCCAAGCUGGCAGCAGAGGGGACGAGCUGUCCGGGCUGUCUGCGGCCCAGCUCUGUCGACGACCUGUCUGCCGGGGCCAUGUGCCUUCUGCUCGGAGAAGAGAUGCUGAGCAAUCACAGAGACUUUCUGAAGAGGCAGAAUGCUCAGUUUUCUUCAGCCUCAAGUGGCAAGUGGUUAAAAAUAUGAUUACAGGAUUGUUUAUUAAAUUGAGGUUUAUUUUUCUGCUUUAUUAAGUCAACACUAUUGAGUCAACUGAGAAUUUGAUCUUCAGGGCUGACGCAGAAGCUUGUUUAUGUAACUAAGUUGAUCAUGAAAGAAGUGAAUCAGUUAUCCACAUGUGUUCAUUCACUUACUUUUGGUUAAUAGAUUAAUGAUUCAGCUGUGAUCAAAUUUCGUUUUGGUUGCUGGUGGCAGUUCCCUUAAUCUCACCUCGAUAAAUCAAAUAAUGGAACCUCAUAUGGGUUCUGAAGAGAAAAUGAUGUUCUUAAUUGUGCAUGAAGUGGCUUCGCUCCCAAGGACAGCAGCCGUCAGCCACACACGCCUGCGGCAGAGAGAUGCCCUUGGGCGACGCUGUUCUCCUGGCCGCGGCGGGAAGGGAGCGGGCUUUCCUCCUGGUCCCAAGUGUAUCUUUGGCGCACACCUUCAUCCACUGGCCAGCCAAACGCACGCCAGCAUUUGGAGAGGUGGGGGCCCCCUGGAACCACCCAGCGGACCCACCGAUGGCUCCUUCGCUCCCCUCCCCGCACCGCCCUGGUCCAGGCUCUUAGCUGUUGGUGCCACCUGUGA
Camelus dromedarius (Arabian camel) is the source of this 1471-nucleotide long non-coding RNA. RefSeq lists it as uncharacterized. The transcript is spliced from 3 exons. NCBI's taxonomy places the organism in Eukaryota, Metazoa, Chordata, Mammalia, Artiodactyla, Camelidae. The record is from RefSeq and is a predicted model, not a curated record.